AGUGAACGCUGGCGGUAGACCUAACACAUGCAAGUCGAACGGCAGCACAGUAAGAGCUUGCUCUUACGGGUGGCGAGUGGCGGACGGGUGAGGAAUACAUCGGAAUCUACUUUUUCGUGGGGGAUAACGUAGGGAAACUUACGCUAAUACCGCAUACGACCUACGGGUGAAGGCAGGGGAUCUUCGGACCUUGCGCGAUUGAAUGAGCCGAUGUCGGAUUAGCUAGUUGGCGGGGUAAAGGCCCACCAAGGCGACGAUCCGUAGCUGGUCUGAGAGGAUGAUCAGCCACACUGGAACUGAGACACGGUCCAGACUCCUACGGGAGGCAGCAGUGGGGAAUAUUGGACAAUGGGCGCAAGCCUGAUCCAGCCAUACCGCGUGGGUGAAGAAGGCCUUCGGGUUGUAAAGCCCUUUUGUUGGGAAAGAAAAGCAGCAGGUUAAUACCCCGCUGUUCUGACGGUACCCAAAGAAUAAGCACCGGCUAACUUCGUG
Molecule: ribosomal RNA, 492 nt
Filed under: uncultured bacterium
Lineage: Bacteria
Description: partial 16S ribosomal RNA
Rfam family: Bacterial small subunit ribosomal RNA
Source: RNAcentral